CCUACGGGAGGCAGCAGUGAGGAAUAUUGGUCAAUGGACGCAAGUCUGAACCAGCCAUGCCGCGUGCAGGAAGACGGCUCUAUGAGUUGUAAACUGCUUUUGUACGAGGGUAAACGCAGAUACGCGUAUCUGUCUGAAAGUAUCGUACGAAUAAGGAUCGGCUAACUCCGUGCCAGCAGCCGCGGUAAUACGGAGGAUUCAAGCGUUAUCCGGAUUUAUUGGGUUUAAAGGGUGCGUAGGCGGUCGGAUAAGUUAGAGGUGAAAUCCCGAGGCUCAACUUCGGAAUUGCCUCUGAUACUGUCAGGCUAGAGAGCAGUUGCGGUAGGCGGAAUGCAUGGUGUAGCAGUGAAAUGCUUAGAGAUCAUACAGAACACCGAUUGCGAAGGCAGCUUACCAAGCUACUUCUGACGUUGAGGCACGAAAGCAUGGGGAGCAAACAGGAUUAAAUACCCUAGUAGUC
RNAcentral lists this ribosomal RNA (460 nucleotides) under uncultured bacterium. RNAcentral's name for it is "partial 16S ribosomal RNA". It matches the Rfam family "Bacterial small subunit ribosomal RNA", at positions 338 to 795 of the family's 1533-position model. The record is from RNAcentral.